Molecule: non-coding RNA, 229 nt
Filed under: Listeria monocytogenes
Lineage: Bacteria; Bacillati; Bacillota; Bacilli; Caryophanales; Listeriaceae
Description: T-box
Rfam family: T-box leader
About the family: Uncharged tRNA acts as the effector for transcription antitermination of genes in the T-box leader family. T-boxes are found upstream of many aminoacyl-tRNA synthetase genes and some amino acid biosynthetic genes usually in Gram-positive bacteria. The anticodon of a specific tRNA base pairs to a specifier sequence within the T-box motif, and the NCCA acceptor tail of the tRNA base pairs to a conserved bulge in the T-box antiterminator hairpin.
Source: RNAcentral
CUAAAGACAAUGAAAGAGCCAAGUAGCAUAGUGAGUCUGUAUAGGGAGAAGUGGUCAUAGACUGAAAGCCACUUUACAAACGAAUUUGUGAACAUUUCACCUCUGGAGUCGCCGCCGGGAAGCACUUUAUGUGUGAAGGUGGUCCGGUUACUAAGCCGUUAUCGAAUUUUGAGUGGGAACAAUUUUUUGUUCUUAUUAGGGUGGUACCGCGAGAAGUCUCGUCCCUUUG